This 392-nucleotide ribosomal RNA is filed under the name uncultured bacterium. RNAcentral describes it as "bacterial SSU rRNA". It matches the Rfam family "Bacterial small subunit ribosomal RNA", at positions 29 to 424 of the family's 1533-position model. The record is from RNAcentral.
AUUGAACGCUGGCGGAAUGCUUUACACAUGCAAGUCGAGCGGCAGCGCGGGGGCAACCCUGGCGGCGAGCGGCGAACGGGUGAGUAGCAUAUCGGAACGUACCCAGUCGUGGGGGAUAACUAUCCGAAAGGAUAGCUAAUACCGCAUACGUCCUGAGGGAGAAAGCGGGGGAUCGCAAGACCUCGCGCGAUUGGAGCGGCCGAUAUCGGAUUAGCUAGUUGGUGGGGUAAAGGCUCACCAAGGCGACGAUCCGUAGCGGGUCUGAGAGGACGACCCGCCACACUGGAACUGAGACACGGUCCAGACUCCUAUGGGAGGCAGCAGUGGGGAAUUUUGGACAAUGGGGGCAACCCUGAUCCAGCCAUUCCGCGUGAGUGAAGAAGGCCUCGGUU